GCCGGGCACGGUGGUGUGUGCCUGUAGUCCCAGUUACUCGGGAGGCUGAGGUGGGAGGAUCGCUUGAGCCCAGGAGUUCUGGGCUGUAGUGCGCUAUGCCUAUUGGGUUUCCGCCCUAAGUUCGGCAUGAAUAUGGUGACCUCCCGGGAGCGGGGGACCACCAGGUUGCCUAAGGAGGGGUGAACCAGCCCAGGUCAGAAACGGAGCAGGUCAAAACUCCCGUGCUGAUCAGUAGUGGGAUUGCGCCUGUGAAUAGCCACUGCACUCCAGCAUGGGCAACCUAGCGAGACCCUGUCUCC
RNAcentral lists this signal recognition particle RNA (299 nucleotides) under Cebus imitator (Panamanian white-faced capuchin). Its description in RNAcentral is "Metazoan signal recognition particle RNA (ENSCCAG00000004727.1)". It matches the Rfam family "Metazoan signal recognition particle RNA". From Rfam's summary of the family: The signal recognition particle (SRP) is a universally conserved ribonucleoprotein. Lineage: Eukaryota; Metazoa; Chordata; Mammalia; Primates; Cebidae. The record is from RNAcentral.